AACGAACGCUGGCGGCAUGCCUAACACAUGCAAGUCGAACGAGACCUUCGGGUCUAGUGGCGCACGGGUGCGUAACGCGUGGGAACCUGCCCUUAGGUUCGGAAUAACUCCCCGAAAGGGGUGCUAAUACCGGAUAAUGUCUUCGGACCAAAGAUUUAUCGCCUUUGGAUGGGCCCGCGUUGGAUUAGCUAGUUGGUAGGGUAAAAGCCUACCAAGGCGACGAUCCAUAGCUGGUCUGAGAGGAUGAUCAGCCACACUGAGACUGAGACACGGCCCAGACUCCUACGGGAGGCAGCAGUGCGGAAUAGUGGACAAUGGGCGAAAGCCUGAUCCAGCAAUGCCGCGUGAGUGAUGAAGGCCUUAGGGUUGUAAAGCUCUUUUACCCGGGAUGAUAAUGACAGUACCGGGAGAAUAAGCUCCGGCUAACUCCGUG
RNAcentral lists this ribosomal RNA (433 nucleotides) under uncultured bacterium. RNAcentral describes it as "partial 16S ribosomal RNA". It matches the Rfam family "Bacterial small subunit ribosomal RNA", at positions 29 to 507 of the family's 1533-position model. The record is from RNAcentral.